Long non-coding RNA from Mytilus californianus (California mussel), 852 nucleotides. RefSeq lists it as uncharacterized. The record is from RefSeq and is a predicted model, not a curated record. NCBI's taxonomy places the organism in Eukaryota, Metazoa, Mollusca, Bivalvia, Mytilida, Mytilidae. The transcript has 3 exons.
GUAAAUAUACCUGACGCCUGACGCGUCCGGACGCGUUCAAAAUUUGUACACCGAAUGUUCAAUAUUUUAACGUCAUAUGUUCAUGCUUAGAGACGUGUUCAAAGUUUUAACGUUUGUGUUAAAAAUAUUAACAUGUGUGUUCAGACGCAGUGAACACCGGUGUUCAAAUUCUGAUCUAAAAAAGAAGAUAGUCGUUUGUCCGAUUUUCUAUCCUUCCAAUUGGCAAAUUCAAAAAGAAAUUCUUUAAAAAAUAUGAAUGUAUACGCAGGAUGAUGAUCUUGUGAAUUUUUGGCUAAUAUUUUAGUAAUUGUGAAAUAUUAAACUUCCAAGCUGGCAUAUAUGUAUAGUUUAUGAAUUUAUUUUAUUGUUUAUUUAUAUAUACUAGUUUUACUUAUAAGUGACAUAAUUAUGCAUAUCAAUGAGGCCUGUUAUGAUAAUAUCGUAAUAAAAAUAUGUCGAUGUUUAUCUUAUUUCAUGAUCCGUUCAUUUUAUUAACAUUACAUGUUCAAUCAGUGUUCAAAUCGCUCGAAAUUUUGAACACCUCGUGUUAAAAAAAAAUAUACCAGGAUACCAAAUACCGGAAACAGAUAUCGGCUGGCGAUUUAGGCGGUUAAACGAAGAAUGGAUACACAUAAGAAAGAGAACUGGAGAAGGGACUUCUAUCCCAUAUGAACACGAAAGAAGAAUCGUUAGAUUAAAAUGUUUGAAUUAGGAACCGGUAGCCAAUAAUCCCAAAAAGGUCAUUUCUGCAUGCUACAAAGUGGUGGAAAAAAGAAAGAUGUCGAAAAAAGGAUAUAUAGGCUCAUAGACAUUCCUUGUUGUGGAGGAUUUUGACAUUGGAAGUUGAUAACA